This 471-nucleotide ribosomal RNA is filed under the name uncultured bacterium. Its description in RNAcentral is "partial 16S ribosomal RNA". It matches the Rfam family "Bacterial small subunit ribosomal RNA", at positions 28 to 507 of the family's 1533-position model. The record is from RNAcentral.
GACGAACGCUGGCGGCGUGCUUAACACAUGCAAGUCGAACGAUGAAGCGGUGCUUGCACCGUGGAUUAGUGGCGAACGGGUGAGUAAUACGUGAGUGACCUACCUUUGACUCUGGGAUAAGCCUGGGAAACUGGGUCUAAUACCGGAUACGACCAAUCUCUGCAUGGGGUGUUGGUGGAAAGCGUUAUGGAGUGGUUUUAGAUGGGCUCACGGCCUAUCAGCUUGUUGGUGAGGUAAUGGCUUACCAAGGCGACGACGGGUAGCCGGCCUGGGAGGGUGACCGGCCACACUGGGACUGAGACACGGCCCAGACUCCAACGGGAGGCAGCAGUGGGGAAUAUUGCACAAUGGGCGCAAGCCUGAUGCAGCGACGCCGCGUGAGGGAUGACGGCCUUCGGGUUGUAAACCUCUGUUAGCAUCGAAGAAGCGAAAGUGACGGUAGGUGCAGAGAAAGCGCCGGCUAACUACGUG